Molecule: ribosomal RNA, 680 nt
Filed under: uncultured bacterium
Lineage: Bacteria
Description: bacterial SSU rRNA
Rfam family: Bacterial small subunit ribosomal RNA
Source: RNAcentral
AAGGAUUAGCCCGCGUUAGAUUAGGUAGUUGGUGGGGUAAUGGCCUACCAAGCCUACGAUCUAUAGCUGGUUUUAGAGGAUGAUCAGCAACACUGGGACUGAGACACGGCCCAGACUCCUACGGGAGGCAGCAGUGGGGAAUCUUGGACAAUGGGGGCAACCCUGAUCCAGCCAUGCCGCGUGAGUGAUGAAGGCCUUAGGGUCGUAAAGCUCUUUCGCCUGUGAAGAUAAUGACGGUAGCAGGUAAAGAAACCCCGGCUAACUCCGUGCCAGCAGCCGCGGUAAUACGGAGGGGGUUAGCGUUGUUCGGAAUUACUGGGCGUAAACGCACGUAGGCGGAUCGGAAAGUUGGGGGUGAAAUCCCGGGGCUCAACCCCGAACUGCCUCCAAAACUAUCGGUCUAGAGUUCGAGAGAGGUGAGUGGAAUUCCAAGUGUAGAGGUGAAAUUCGUAGAUAUUUGGAGGAACACCAGUGGCGAAGGGGCUCACUGGCUCGAUACUGACGCUGAGGUGCGAAAGUGUGGGGAGCAAACAGGAUUAGAUACCCUGGUAGUCCACACCGUAAACGAUGAAUGCCAGUCGUCGGGUAGCAUGCUAUUCGGUGACACACCUAACGGAUUAAGCAUUCCGCCUGGGGAGUACGGUCGCAAGAUUAAAACUCAAAGGAAUUGACGGGGGCCC